UCUCCUGGAAACGGGUGGUAAUGCCGGAUGCUCCAGUUGAUCGCAUGGUCUUCUGGGAAAGCUUUCGCGGUAUGGGAUGGGGUCGCGUCCUAUCAGCUUGACGGCGGGGUAACGGCCCACCGUGGCUUCGACGGGUAGCCGGCCUGAGAGGGCGACCGGCCACAUUGGGACUGAGAUACGGCCCAGACUCCUACGGGAGGCAGCAGUGGGGAAUAUUGCACAAUGGGCGCAAGCCUGAUGCAGCGACGCCGCGUGAGGGAUGGAGGCCUUCGGGUUGUAAACCUCUUUUAUCGGGGAGCAAGCGAGAGUGAGUUUACCCGUUGAAUAAGCACCGGCUAACUACGUGCCAGCAGCCGCGGUAAUACGUAGGGUGCAAGCGUUAUCCGGAAUUAUUGGGCGUAAAGGGCUCGUAGGCGGUUCGUCGCGUCCGGUGUGAAAGUCCAUCGCUUAACGGUGGAUUCGCGCCGGGUACGGGCGGGCUUGAGUGCGGUAGGGGAGACUGGAAUUCCCGGUGUAACGGUGGAAUGUGUAGAUAUCGG
This 539-nucleotide ribosomal RNA is filed under the name Bifidobacterium longum subsp. infantis. RNAcentral's name for it is "bacterial SSU rRNA". It matches the Rfam family "Bacterial small subunit ribosomal RNA", at positions 146 to 700 of the family's 1533-position model. Lineage: Bacteria; Bacillati; Actinomycetota; Actinomycetes; Bifidobacteriales; Bifidobacteriaceae. The record is from RNAcentral.